Molecule: ribosomal RNA, 456 nt
Filed under: uncultured bacterium
Lineage: Bacteria
Description: bacterial SSU rRNA
Rfam family: Bacterial small subunit ribosomal RNA
Source: RNAcentral
UACGGGAGGGCAGCAGUGGGGAAUAUUGCACAAUGGGCGCAAGCCUGAUGCAGCCAUGCCGCGUGUAUGAAGAAGGCCUUCGGGUUGUAAAGUACUUUCAGUCGUGAGGAAGGUGUUAAGGUUAAUAACCUUAGCAAUUGACGUUAGCGACAGAAGAAGCACCGGCUAACUCCGUGCCAGCAGCCGCGGUAAUACGGAGGGUGCGAGCGUUAAUCGGAAUUACUGGGCGUAAAGGGCACGCAGGCGGUUAAUUAAGUUGGAUGUGAAAUCCCCGGGCUUAACCUGGGAAUGGCAUUCAAGACUGGUUAGCUAGAGUCUUGUAGAGGGGGUAGAAUUCCAUGUGUAGCGGUGAAAUGCGUAGAGAUGUGGAGGAAUACCGGGUGGCGAAGGCGGCCCCUGGGACAAAGACUGACGCUCAUGUGCGAAAGCGUGGGGAGCGAAACAGGAUUAGAUACC